RNAcentral lists this ribosomal RNA (253 nucleotides) under uncultured bacterium. RNAcentral's name for it is "partial 16S ribosomal RNA". It matches the Rfam family "Bacterial small subunit ribosomal RNA", at positions 524 to 776 of the family's 1533-position model. The record is from RNAcentral.
GACGAAGGUGGCAAGCGUUGUUCGGAAUUACUGGGCGUAAAGCGCGUGUAGGUGGCAAGGCAAGUCGGGUGUGAAAGCCCUGGGCUCAACCCAGGAAGUGCACUCGAUACUGCCUCGCUAGAGUCCCGGAGAGGUUGGUGGAACUCUCGGUGUAGAGGUGAAAUUCGUAGAUAUCGAGAAGAACACCGGUGGCGAAGGCGGCCAACUGGACGGUGACUGACACUGAGACGCGAAAGCGUGGGGAGCAAACAGG